Molecule: ribosomal RNA, 253 nt
Filed under: uncultured bacterium
Lineage: Bacteria
Description: partial 16S ribosomal RNA
Rfam family: Bacterial small subunit ribosomal RNA
Source: RNAcentral
UACGGAGGGUGCAAGCGUUGUCCGGAUUUAUUGGGUUUAAAGGGUGCGUAGGUGGGCAAGUAAGUCAGUGGUGAAAUCUCCGGGCUUAACCCGGAAACUGCCAUUGAUACUAUUUGUCUUGAAUACUGCGGAGGUCAGCGGAAUAUGUCAUGUAGCGGUGAAAUGCUUAGAUAUGACAUAGAACACCAAUUGCGAAGGCAGCUGGCUACACAAAUAUUGACACUGAGGCACGAAAGCGUGGGGAUCAAACAGG